UUCCUCUUUCCUUGAACGCGUCUAUCCCACCUUUAAUCCCGCAUUCAUCCUCUCCGACACCGGCGUGCCCCUCUCCCCGCCGUUGGUAGCAGUUUAGCGGCGCGGCUCUUCCGGCAAGAUCCACUACACGGCAGCGCAACCUACUCCGGUGUGCAAAGUGGCGGCACGACCUCCUUUUGCGCAAUCUCUCUGACGCGUGCAAACUCCCCUUGGCAAUCUCUCUCUCUCUCGCGAAUCUGUCCUUCCGGCGACCUGCACUUAGAGCUAACGCAGCUUCCAACCUCGUCAGGCUGCGGCAGAACUUUGGAUCAGUAGAAUCUUAGUUCGUGAAAGGAUUAAGGUUCGAUGAUUUACACGGCCAUCGACACAUUUUAUCUAAGUGAUGAGCAGUUGAAGGACUCACCUUCGAGAAAGGAUGGGAUUGAUGAAGUCACUGAAACCACCCUGAGAAUCUACGGUUGUGAUCUCAUCCAGGAAGCUGGCAUAUUGCUUAAAUUGCCUCAGGCAGUCAUGGCUACUGGACAAGUUCUGUUCCAUCGAUUCUAUUGCAAGAAAUCAUUUGCCCGCUUCCAUGUCAAGAAAGUUGCUUCUAGUUGUGUGUGGCUUGCUUCAAAGUUGGAGGAAAACCCUAGGAAAGCCAGACAAGUAAUUAUUGUUUUUCACAGAAUGGAAUGUAGGAGAGAGAACUUAUCGAUAGAGUUCUUGGACCCUACUCUCAAGAAAUACGCAGACUUGAAGACGGAGCUGAGCAGAACUGAGAGGCAUAUAUUGAAAGAGAUGGGUUUCAUUUGUCAUGUUGAACAUCCGCAUAAAUUCAUAUCUAACUACCUUGCAACCCUUGGAACACCUCCAGAACUGAGGCAAGAAGCUUGGAAUCUAGCCAACGACAGUUUGCGUACAACCUUGUGCGUUCGAUUCAAGAGCGAGGUUGUGGCUUGUGGGGUUGUAUAUGCUGCUGCUCGUAGAUUCCAAGUACCCCUUCCUGAAAAUCCACCUUGGUGGAAGGCAUUUGAUGCAGACAAGUCGGGAAUUGAUGAAGUCUGUCGAGUUUUGGCACACUUGUAUACCCUUCCUAAGGCACAAUAUAUCCCAGUCUGCAAGGAUGGAGACUCAUUUACAUUUUCUAACAAGUCAUGGGAUUCACAAUCUCUUCCCGUGACCAAGGAAGUUCCACAAAGCAGCCCAACAGCCAACGAUGAUGCUGUAAAAGCCACCUCAGGAAAUAAUCAUGAAUCAGGUGGGUCCAAAGAUGAGUUGCUUAAAUUAGCCUUAAACAAGCUCAAGGAAUCUAAGAAGAGUGAUGACGAAUCCAAGAGCAUUCCGCUUGAAGCCACUACCAGGGAGGAAGUUUUGCCAAAAUCGAAAUCUGAUCGAAGGGCUGAGACUGGUGAAAGGAACAAGGAGAGAGAAAGGGACAGGGAUAGGGAAAGAGCGAGGGAGAGAGACAGAACCAAGUCUCGAGAUCGGGAUAGAGGUCGAGAUUCUGACAGGGAACGUGAGAGGGAGGAUGCAGACAGAGACAAAAUCAAGGAUCGAGCUCAUCGCUCAAAUGAUAGGAGCAAGGAAUUAGGAGGACACUUGGAAAAAUCGAGACGUCACUCAUCGCGAGAUCGGGAUUACCAUGGCUCAUCUUAUUCUUCACGUGAUAAAGAUCGCCAUAGGCAUCAUUGACGACAUGGAAUCAGAUCGAUCUUCUAUGGUGGGCGGCAUUGACAUGUUUAGAGUAGCCACUCUAUUCUUACUUCCUAACUCGCUGAUGCUUUCUAAAAUAUUUCGCCUCUUCGAAUGGUGGGGCGGGCUGGAGUCUGAAGAAGCAAGGUGCUUGGCCUAUAAUUGAUAGAUACUCUUGCAUCUACCUCUCCACUUUUCCUCAUUGAAAUUGAGUAGCUGUGCCAGAAUGUAACAAUGUGUUGGACCUCUUGACCAAACAGCGCUCUUCAUCUUCAAGCUGUUUGUCAAUUGCUCAUAUGUUGUUGAGCAUUUCAAGCACAUUGUCAAACCUUUUUCUGUUUUCUUGACCUUUAAUUCUUGAAAUGGUAUUAUUUCGUUGCGACCUUAAAUGUAUAUAUUUCUUCCCUAA
RNA transcript from Cucurbita moschata (crookneck pumpkin), 2080 nucleotides. It is a transcript of the gene named cyclin-L1-1-like, with no coding region annotated. The transcript has 12 exons. The record is from RefSeq and is a predicted model, not a curated record. Lineage: Eukaryota; Viridiplantae; Streptophyta; Magnoliopsida; Cucurbitales; Cucurbitaceae.